Molecule: ribosomal RNA, 253 nt
Filed under: uncultured bacterium
Lineage: Bacteria
Description: partial 16S ribosomal RNA
Rfam family: Bacterial small subunit ribosomal RNA
Source: RNAcentral
UACAGAGGUCCCAAGCGUUGUUCGGAUUCACUGGGCGUAAAGGGUGCGUAGGCGGUCGGGUAAGUCUGACGUGAAAUCUUCAAGCUCAACUUGGAAACUGCGUCGGAUGCUAUUCGGCUCGAGGAAUGGAGGGGAGACUGGAAUACUUGGUGUAGCAGUGAAAUGCGUAGAUAUCAAGUGGAACACCAGUGGCGAAGGCGAGUCUCUGGACAUUUCCUGACGCUGAGGCACGAAAGCCAGGGGAGCAAACGGG